This 451-nucleotide ribosomal RNA is filed under the name uncultured bacterium. RNAcentral describes it as "bacterial SSU rRNA". It matches the Rfam family "Bacterial small subunit ribosomal RNA", at positions 354 to 796 of the family's 1533-position model. The record is from RNAcentral.
GUGGGGAAUAUUGGACAAUGGGGGGAACCCUGAUCCAGCCAUGCCGCGUGUGUGAAGAAGGCCUUUUGGUUGUAAAGCACUUUAAGCGAGGAGGAGGCUACCGAGAUUAAUACUCUUGGAUAGUGGACGUUACUCGCAGAAUAAGCACCGGCUAACUCUGUGCCAGCAGCCGCGGUAAUACAGAGGGUGCAAGCGUUAAUCGGAUUUACUGGGCGUAAAGCGCGCGUAGGUGGCCAAUUAAGUCAAAUGUGAAAUCCCCGAGCUUAACUUGGGAAUUGCAUUAGAUACUGGCUGGCUAGAGUAUGGGAGAAGAUGGUAGAAUUCCAGGUGUAGCGGUGAAAUGCGUCGAGAUCUGGAGGAAUACCGAUGGCGAAGGCAGCCAUCUGGCCUAAUACUGACACUGAGGUGCGAAAGCAUGGGGAGCAAACAGGAUUAGAAACCCUGGUAGUCC